GGUUCGAUCCUGGCUCAGAUUGAACGCUGGCGGGAUGCUUACACAUGCAAGUCGAACGGUGCACGGACUUCGGUCUGGUGGCGAGUGGCGAACGGGUGAGUAAUGUAUCGGAACGUGCCUAGUAGCGGGGAUAACUACGCGAAAGCGUAGCUAAAACUGCAUACCCUUCGGGGGAAAGCGGGGACCUUCGGGCCUCGCACUAUUAGAGCGGCCGAUAUCGGAUUAGCUAGUUGGUGGGGUAACGGCUCACCAAGGCGACGAUCCGUAGCUGGUUUGAGAGGACGACCAGCCACACUGGGACUGAGACACGGCCCAGACUCCUACGGAGGCAGCAGGGGGAAUUUGGGACAAUGGGAAACCCUGAUCCAACCAGCCCGCGUGUGCGAUGAAGGCCUUCGGGUUGUAAAGCACUUUUUGGUGAAAGAAACGGCACGGGAUAAUACCCCGUGCAACCGACGGUACUCAAGAAUAAGCACCGGCUAACUACGUGCCAGCAGCCGCGGUAAUACGUAGGGUGCAAGUGUUAAUCGGAAUUACUGGGCGUAAAGCGUGCGCAGGCGGUUCGGAAAGAAAGAUGUGAAAUCCCAGAGCUUAACUUUGGAACUGCAUUUUUAACUACCGAGCUAGAGUGUGUCAGAGGGAGGUGGAAUUCCGCGCAGCAGUGAAUGCGUAGAUAUGCGGAGGAACACCGAUGGCGAAGGCAGCCUCCCGGGGGAUAACACUGACGCUCUAUGCACGAAAGCGUGGGGAGCAAACAGGAUUAGAUACUCCCCUGGUAGUCCACGCCCUAAACGAUGUCAACUAGCUGUUGGGGCUUUCGGGCCUUGGUAGCGCAGCUAACGCGUGGUGCUGACCGCCUGGGAGUACGGUCGCAAGAUUAAAACUCAAAGAAUUGACGGGGACCGCACAAGCGGUGGAUGAUGUGAUUAAUUCGAUGGCACGCGAAAAACCUUACCUACCUUUGACAUGUCUGGAAUCCCGAAGAGAUUUGGGAGUGCUCGCAAGAGAACCGGAACACAGGUGCUGCAUGGCUGUCGUCAGCUCGUGUCGUGAGAUGUUGGGUUAAGUCCCGGCAACGAGCGCAACCCCUGUCAUUAGUUGCUGAAAGGGCACUCUAUCGAGACUGCCGGUGACAAACCGGAGGAAGGUGGGGAUGACGUCAAGUCCUCAUGGCUCCCAGGGUAGGGCUUCACACGUCAUACAAUGGUCGGGACAGAGGGUCGCCAACCCGCGAGGGGGAGCCAAUCCCAGAAACCUGAUCAGGUCCGGAUCGUAGUCUGCAACUCGACUGCGUGAAGUCGGAAUCGCGAAUAAUCGCGGAUCAGCAUGUCGCAGUGAAUACGUUCCCGGGUCUUGUACACACCCGCCCGUCACACCAUGGGAGUGGGUUUUACCAGAAGUAGUUAGCCUAACCGUAAGGAGGGCGAUUACCACGGUAGAUUCAUGACUGGGGUGAAGUCGUAACAAGGUAG
This 1472-nucleotide ribosomal RNA is filed under the name uncultured Bordetella sp. Its description in RNAcentral is "partial 16S-23S ribosomal RNA intergenic spacer". It matches the Rfam family "Bacterial small subunit ribosomal RNA". The record is from RNAcentral. Lineage: Bacteria; Pseudomonadati; Pseudomonadota; Betaproteobacteria; Burkholderiales; Alcaligenaceae.